This is an RNA transcript of Vidua macroura (Pin-tailed whydah), 1445 nucleotides long. RefSeq lists it as uncharacterized. The record is from RefSeq and is a predicted model, not a curated record. The transcript is spliced from 4 exons. Lineage: Eukaryota; Metazoa; Chordata; Aves; Passeriformes; Viduidae.
CCUGAGCCCUGCUGAGGCUUGAGCUGCCCUCUCUGCUGCUUGGCAGUGUGGGCACACAGCAUUACCUGAGCCCCUUGCAGUGCUCACUUCCCCAUAGAAGGCAAUCCCAUCACACCGUGGAACAUUUCCUAUCUGUUCUUCUUUCUAGGUUGGGACCGUGACUUGCAUCAUUUGGAAAGACUGGCAAACCAUGGUUUAAGGGUCUUGGAGCUUGGUGAAGCUGAACGUGAUGAUGAAGAUGAUCUGGAUUCCCAACCCAUACCCAUUACUGAGCCUCAGGGAGAUGCUGAGGAUGUGUCUGCAGGGAGGACUUUCCCAGGUCCUCUGGUGGAUGUUGCACAUAAGCCCGACUCCCAUCGCAGGGGUCCCCUGAGAAGGAAGAACAAACCUACAGGAGACAGUAAGUCACUGGAGGAAUCCAAACAUCUGGAACAAAUCCUGAGUGAUGUGGAGAGACGUGGUGGUGGGUGCAUUUCCCUCAGCCUUCCCCUGGGACUCAGCAGCCGGGGGCUUUCCCUGCACAUCUGGACACGCCGUGCCUGGCACAGCGGGAAGGGAUCCAUGGCAGCCUGGCUGCCCCGCUGCUGCUUUCCUGCCCUGCAGGGCUGUUUCCCAGCCUGGCCUGGCUGCAGCUUCUCCCCAGCCUCUGCAGGAAGGCAUUUGGCAGCAGCUGACAGGGAGCCCAAACUGCACCAUGGGCCUGAGAUCCCCUGCAAUUUCCUGGUCUCUGGGUUGAUGCAGAGAGGCAGCUGUUUGCAGGAGGGAGGGCCCUGGAGCAGCUCCAAAACCCUGGCCAUUUUCCUUGUCUUCAUCCACCCUUUGACAAGUAUUGCUUGGAGCAGAACAGCACAGCACAGAGGAAUUAUGGCAUGCAGGCUCAGGGGUUUGGGUACUGGGCAGUCCUGUGCCAAGGGGCGGCAAGGCCCCAGCUCUGGGGGAAACAGAGACCAAGGACCUCCUGUCCCUCUGCACCGUGCUGCCAGCUCAGCAGUGGAGCACAGCACGGGCUCACGCUCCCCAUUGCUCCCACAGAUGCAGCCGGCACCUCAACACAUGCUGACAAGACCCGGAAAAGCAUGAGAAGAGUUUUCUGCUGGGGAACACCUUGUUUGGUUAAGUUGAUGGCCAUUGUGGCUGGUGCAGCACUUUGCCUGAUGAUUUGCUCUGCUGGAAUCUGGUAUUGCUGGAAGAGAAAAUGGUGAGUGUUUUGGUGAUCUCGACCUCAAACAGCAUCCUUUAAUGGCUGCUGAUAGUCAGGGAACAUUCCCAGUGAGGCUGCAGUGGAGCUGUGGCCAGUCUGUGGUUGUCCAAAGAACUCUGCUGAGGGCUCUGCUGCUGCCCAGUGCUUUCAUUGGCCUCUUCAUUGCUGGGCCUUGUCCUGGGGGGCCCGCUGGGGCUGCAGCCAGUGCUGGCUCCCACUGAGGCUGCCUGGGCAAGAGCAGCCC